ACGGAGGGUGCAAGCGUUAAUCGGAAUUACUGGGCGUAAAGCGCGCGUAGGUGGUUUGCUAAGCGAGAUGUGAAAGCCCCGGGCUCAACCUGGGAACUGCAUUUCGAACUGGUAGGCUAGAGUAUGGUAGAGGUAAGUGGAAUUUCCUGUGUAGCGGUGAAAUGCGUAGAUAUAGGAAGGAACACCAGUGGCGAAGGCGACUUACUGGACCAAUACUGACACUGAGGUGCGAAAGCGUGGGGAGCAAACAGG
This 252-nucleotide ribosomal RNA is filed under the name uncultured bacterium. RNAcentral describes it as "partial 16S ribosomal RNA". It matches the Rfam family "Bacterial small subunit ribosomal RNA", at positions 525 to 776 of the family's 1533-position model. The record is from RNAcentral.